GACAGAGGGUGCAAACGUUGUUCGGAAUUACUGGGCGUAAAGCGCACGUAGGCGGAUUGCUAAGUCAGGGGUGAAAUCCUGGAGCUCAACUCCAGAACUGCCUUUGAUACUGGCGAUCUCGAGUCCGGGAGAGGUGAGUGGAACUGCGAGUGUAGAGGUGAAAUUCGUAGAUAUUCGCAAGAACACCAGUGGCGAAGGCGGCUCACUGGCCCGGUACUGACGCUGAGGUGCGAAAGCGUGGGGAGCAAACAGG
RNAcentral lists this ribosomal RNA (253 nucleotides) under uncultured bacterium. RNAcentral describes it as "partial 16S ribosomal RNA". It matches the Rfam family "Bacterial small subunit ribosomal RNA", at positions 524 to 776 of the family's 1533-position model. The record is from RNAcentral.